This 400-nucleotide ribosomal RNA is filed under the name uncultured bacterium. RNAcentral describes it as "bacterial SSU rRNA". It matches the Rfam family "Bacterial small subunit ribosomal RNA", at positions 355 to 747 of the family's 1533-position model. The record is from RNAcentral.
UGGGGAAUAUUGGACAAUGGGCGCAAGCCUGAUCCAGCCACGCCGCGUGAGUGAUGAAGGCCUUCGGGUUGUAAAGCUCUGUGGGUAGGGACGAAAACGGUCCGGAAGAAACGACGGAUCCUUGACGGUACCUACUUAGCAAGCACCGGCUAACUCUGUGCCAGCAGCCGCGGUAAUACAGAGGGUGCGAACGUUGCUCGGAAUUACUGGGCGUAAAGCGCGUGUAGGCGGAGCGCUAAGUCGGGCGUGAAAUCCCCAGGCUCAACCUGGGAACUGCGCUCGAAACUGGCGUUCUCGAGUAUCGGAGAGGGUGGCGGAAUUCCUGGUGUAGAGGUGAAAUUCGUAGAUAUCAGGAGGAACACCGGUGGCGAAGGCGGCCACCUGGACGAUUACUGACGCU